GCCAGCUUGCUGGGUGGAUUAGUGGCGAACGGGUGAGUAACACGUGAGCAACGUGCCCAUAACUCUGGGAUAACCUCCGGAAACGGUGGCUAAUACUGGAUAUCUAACGCGAUCGCAUGGUCUGUGUUUGGAAAGAUUUUUUGGUUAUGGAUCGGCUCACGGCCUAUCAGCUUGUUGGUGAGGUAAUGGCUCACCAAGGCGACGACGGGUAGCCGGCCUGAGAGGGUGACCGGCCACACUGGGACUGAGACACGGCCCAGACUCCUACGGGAGGCAGCAGUGGGGAAUAUUGCACAAUGGGCGAAAGCCUGAUGCAGCAACGCCGCGUGAGGGAUGACGGCCUUCGGGUUGUAAACCUCUUUUAGUAGGGAAGAAGCGAAAGUGACGGUACCUGCAGAAAAAGCACCGGCUAACUACGUGCCAGCAGCCGCGGUAAUACGUAGGGUGCAAGCGUUGUCCGGAAUUAUUGGGCGUAAAGAGCUCGUAGGCGGUUUGUCGCGUCUGCUGUGAAAUCCCGAGGCUCAACCUCGGGUCUGCAGUGGGUACGGGCAGACUAGAGUGUGGUAGGGGAGAUUGGAAUUCCUGGUGUAGCGGUGGAAUGCGCAGAUAUCAGGAGGAACACCGAUGGCGAAGGCAGAUCUCUGGGCCAUUACUGACGCUGAGGAGCGAAAGCAUGGGGAGCGAACAGGAUUAGAUACCCUGGUAGUCCAUGCCGUAAACGUUGGGCGCUAGAUGUGGGGACCAUUCCACG
RNAcentral lists this ribosomal RNA (751 nucleotides) under Pseudoclavibacter helvolus. Its description in RNAcentral is "bacterial SSU rRNA". It matches the Rfam family "Bacterial small subunit ribosomal RNA", at positions 74 to 845 of the family's 1533-position model. The record is from RNAcentral. Lineage: Bacteria; Bacillati; Actinomycetota; Actinomycetes; Micrococcales; Microbacteriaceae.